CACCAGAGGGUGCAAUAAGA
Molecule: transfer RNA, 20 nt
Filed under: Natrix natrix (European grass snake)
Lineage: Eukaryota; Metazoa; Chordata; Lepidosauria; Squamata; Natricidae
Description: partial transfer RNA-Ser
Source: RNAcentral